Molecule: non-coding RNA, 23 nt
Filed under: Mus musculus (house mouse)
Lineage: Eukaryota; Metazoa; Chordata; Mammalia; Rodentia; Muridae
Source: RNAcentral
UGAAUUGAGUCCUUUCUAUGGGA